This is a long non-coding RNA of Lycium barbarum (goji berry), 1757 nucleotides long. RefSeq lists it as uncharacterized. Lineage: Eukaryota; Viridiplantae; Streptophyta; Magnoliopsida; Solanales; Solanaceae. The record is from RefSeq and is a predicted model, not a curated record. The transcript has 3 exons.
AACACUUCGUUACUUAGAUAAAGGAUAUAAUGCACUUGAUAAUACACUUCGUAAAAUAACUCUUCUUGUCCAAAAAAACGUACCAGUAGCUUCAAAAGCUCCAUUGUUGGAUUAUAUAAGUUCUUACAACUUGUACAAGCUAACUCUAUUUGACAUUUCAAUUGAUGGAAGUUGGGCAGAACAUAUCUCUUGUAGCAGAACGUGAAAUCUCGGUUUCUCGACAACAACAUGUUUCGUUCCUUAGGGGGACGGGUGUAAUUCUUUUCGCAGGGCAGCAUAGCUGGUUUUGCCACUACUUUCGAUCUCGUUGUUUCGUUUUUGUCUCGGUUCAGACAGGUUGCCGGGAGAAUCGCACCAGUAGAAUUUACUGAGUACCAACCAGUGUGGUAAGCUUCAUAUCAUCCGAAGUUACCAGGUCCAAAGUUUUGUGUAUAUACAAUAUGGGUAGCCUAGGGUCAUGUCCCGACCAUAUUACAGUUACACUCUUGUAGAGGCUUGUAGACUUUUUUUGUUAGUAUAAUACGUUAGUAUAGAGCCCUUGUAGGCCCUUGUAUAUAUGUCUUGUUGGGUUUUGCUGCUUGCAGAAACGUAUAUUGGCAUGGUUGGCAUAGUAGUUGUUUAUGUAGGCAUUUGAUUAUCCCAUCUUGCCGAGUUAGUUUGGAGUACAGUUUAGGGCCUCGUCGGCCCCAGAUACGAUAUUAUGUUUACAGGUUGGCCUCCUUGGCCUAAUUUGUGUUUCGAGACAUAGAUGAUAUGAGUCAUAGCUUGGUUCGCUCAAGCCGAGUUCGGCAUUGGGUGCCGGCCACGCCCCGCUAGACCAAACAGGCUCUGAACUUCACACGUAUUCUGUUGUUUUGCAGCACAAGGGCUUCAUUCGAUGUAUAAAAGAAAACGCGCGCGGCGGAGCCAGAUCGAAGACGUUCGGGGCCAGCUAGAUUCUCAAGAUAGAGAGACCAAGAAAUUCAAGAUCCUUUUGCAGCAAAAAGAAAAAAAGUUGGUGACUCCUCGAUUUUUAAGGUCGAGCUUGCUGUUGCUAAGGAGGGAAAACUCCAGGUUGAAAACGAUCUGGCGAGUUUAGUUGAGAAAUACACCGUCCUUUCGGUGGAUAAGUAGAGGCUUGAACGGGAAGCCGAGGUUUUAUUCGAGGAAGAGGCGGCUGCCAACACCAAUCUAAGGCAAGAGCUCGAUGCUGUCAAAGCUGAGAUUGCCCACCUCAUUGCCAAACUUGCUUUAGAGAAGGAAGUUUUGAGAGUGGCCUAAGAGAAGGCCGAUACCCGGGCAAAGUAUUUUGAGAAUCUUACCGAUCAGCUCGAGGCGGCCACCGGAGAUCUGAGUGUGCUAUCCCAGCAGAAUACCGGGUUGACGACCCAACUGUAGCUAGCCUUAUCCGAGCAGGAUCAAAUCCAGGAUCAAAUCCAGGCCCAAGCUGAGGUUGAUGUCAAAGCUUCUAAUGAACGUUCUACUUUGCGAGCCGAGCAUAUGAAAUGGAAGACCCGUAUGCUUACUCUUCAAGAGGUCCAGCGCGGCAUCGAGGAUAUAGACGCGGAGGAAGCCGAGACCCGGACUGAGAAAGCUCUCCUGGGCGACUGUUUAGAAGAUGAGCUUGCUGCUUCCGAGGAGUUAGAUUCCUCGGAGGAGGAGUAGAUAAGCCCUUAGGCCGAAAAAUGCAUAUUUCUUUUGCGUUUGUAAAAUUUUACCAAGGUCGGUAUCUGGCCUUGUAUAUAUAUAUAUAUAUAUAUUAUAAAAGUGUUUGUUUA